UUUCUGUUUCAGGUGGUUCUACAAAUGUUCGCUGGAUGUGCAUAUCCUCAGAAACUUUGUCUGAAGGCACUGCAGUUCGACUGAAGUGGGCGAACAGAUCUAUAGCACCCGAAGUGUGCUGCUACGUGGUGUAGAAUGCUACCGGGCCAGC
This is a long non-coding RNA of Schistocerca piceifrons (Central American locust), 151 nucleotides long. RefSeq lists it as uncharacterized. Lineage: Eukaryota; Metazoa; Arthropoda; Insecta; Orthoptera; Acrididae. The record is from RefSeq and is a predicted model, not a curated record. The transcript is spliced from 3 exons.